RNAcentral lists this transfer RNA (73 nucleotides) under Bos taurus (domestic cattle). It matches the Rfam family "tRNA". Rfam says of the family: Transfer RNA (tRNA) molecules are approximately 80 nucleotides in length. The record is from Rfam by way of RNAcentral. RNAcentral also lists the same sequence under 1 other name. Lineage: Eukaryota; Metazoa; Chordata; Mammalia; Artiodactyla; Bovidae.
UCCUGCAUGGUCCACUGGUUAGGACUCUGUGCUCCCAAUUCAGGGGGCACAGGUUCGAUCCCUGGUUGGGGAA